GAUAAAUAUGAGUAAGAGAUUCUAAUUUUGCAAUUGAAGGACUCAAGGUACCAGAAAGAUUGGACUUAGGCAAGUUUAUCACAAUAACUUUUUGGUUAAUAUCACAACUUAAUCCCCACCACGGCCCGUCACAGGGAUUAUCUCCUGACCAUGAUUCAACAAGUUUAGAUGGAUAAUUCAACUCAUCAAGGAAUUCUAAAAGUGCCAUAACCUCAGGUGCACAAAUUUUGGCUUGACAAAAAGAGUUGGAUUGAUAACUAACAUUUAUAGCCUUGAAAUUUGGUAUUGGCCCCAUAAAAUGAUUAUUAUUCAAAUCAAGAUGGCCUAAUGACAUAUUU
This 338-nucleotide unclassified non-coding RNA is filed under the name Hevea brasiliensis (rubber tree). The record is from RNAcentral. Lineage: Eukaryota; Viridiplantae; Streptophyta; Magnoliopsida; Malpighiales; Euphorbiaceae.